UUUCAGAAGAAGCUAAUGCUUAGUUGGUCAGUUCUCUGCAGAGAUCGGAUGCUGAGAACCAAUGACUAUAAGAACGAAAAAGGUAGUUGGAAGACCAAUAGCAAAUCUUGAAAAAGGAGGUGAAAAGGCUCAGGGAAGAAGCGAUGACAAAAAAGGCAGAAUUUGAGGAACAAGAAACACGGUGGGAAAAAGAAAAGACCUCCCUCCAAG
This 210-nucleotide unclassified non-coding RNA is filed under the name Hevea brasiliensis (rubber tree). Lineage: Eukaryota; Viridiplantae; Streptophyta; Magnoliopsida; Malpighiales; Euphorbiaceae. The record is from RNAcentral.